RNAcentral lists this ribosomal RNA (568 nucleotides) under uncultured bacterium. RNAcentral describes it as "partial 16S ribosomal RNA". It matches the Rfam family "Bacterial small subunit ribosomal RNA", at positions 355 to 1375 of the family's 1533-position model. The record is from RNAcentral.
UGGGGAAUAUUGCACAAUGGGCGAAAGCCUGAUGCAGCAACGCCGCGUGAGGGACGACGGCCUUCGGGUUGUAAACCUCUUUUAGCAAGGAAGAAGCGAAAGUGACGGUACUUGCAGAAAAAGCGCCGGCUAACUACGUGCCAGCAGCCGCGGUAAUACGUAGGGCGCAAGCGUUAUCCGGAAUUAUUGGGCGUAAAGAGCUCGUAGGCGGUUUGUCGCGUCUGCUGUGAAAACCCGAGGCUCAACCUCGGGCCUGCAGUGGGUACGGGCAGACUAGAGUGCGGUAGGGGAGAUUGGAACUCCUGGUGUAGCGGUGGAAUGCGCAGAUAUCAGGAAGAACACCGAUGGCGAAGGCAGAUCUCUGGGCCGUAACUGACGCUGAGGAGCGAAAGGGUGGGGAGCAAAACAGGCUUAGAUACCCUGGUAGUCCACCCCGUAAACGUUGGGAACUAGUUGUGGGUCCAUUCCACGGAUUCCGUGACGCAGCUAACGCAUUAAGUUCCCCGCCUGGGGAGUACGGCCGCAAGGCUAAAACUCAAAGGAAUUGACGGGGUCAUAGCUGUUUCCU